GCGAGAGCCAAACUUCUGCUACGAACAGUCUACUCCGAACUCCUACAGCGGACUGUCUACCCCAGAUAUCUACUGUAAGCAAAUUUCUUCUGAACUUCUGUUGCAGGUAGACUCCAGCCGAGCUACUCCGUAGCGAGUGGGCUCUAGACGAACUUCUACAAUGGGACACUACUCCGAGCUUCCAUGACAACUGGUCCUCGUACGAGCUCCUACAAUAAACGGCCCCUUUUUGAUCUCUCGUG
Molecule: long non-coding RNA, 242 nt
Filed under: Elaeis guineensis (African oil palm)
Lineage: Eukaryota; Viridiplantae; Streptophyta; Magnoliopsida; Arecales; Arecaceae
Description: long non-coding RNA (EGUI_LNC065026)
Source: RNAcentral